Molecule: ribosomal RNA, 394 nt
Filed under: uncultured bacterium
Lineage: Bacteria
Description: bacterial SSU rRNA
Rfam family: Bacterial small subunit ribosomal RNA
Source: RNAcentral
AUUGAACGCUGGCGGCAUGCCUUACACAUGCAAGUCGAACGGCAGCACGGGAGCAAUCCUGGUGGCGAGUGGCGAACGGGUGAGUAAUAUAUCGGAACGUGCCCAGUCGUGGGGAUAACGUAGCGAAAGCUACGCUAAUACCGCAUACGAUCUAUGGAUGAAAGCGGGGGAUCGCAAGACCUCGCGCGAUUGGAGCGGCCGAUAUCAGAUUAGGUAGUUGGUGAGGUAAAGGCUCACCAAGCCGACGAUCUGUAGCUGGUCUGAGAGGAGACCAGCCACACUGGGACUGAGACACGGCCCAGACUCCUACGGGAGGCAGCAGUGGGGAAUUUUUGGACAAUAGGGCGCAAGCCUGAUCCAGCAAUAGCCGCGUGCAGGAUGAAGGCCUUCGGUU